Molecule: ribosomal RNA, 556 nt
Filed under: Bifidobacterium adolescentis
Lineage: Bacteria; Bacillati; Actinomycetota; Actinomycetes; Bifidobacteriales; Bifidobacteriaceae
Description: partial 16S ribosomal RNA
Rfam family: Bacterial small subunit ribosomal RNA
Source: RNAcentral
UUCUCCUGGAAAACGGGUGGUAAUGCCGGAUGCUCCAGUUGACCGCAUGGUCCUUUGGGAAAGCUUUUGCGGUAUGGGAUGGGGUCGCGUCCUAUCAGCUUGAUGGCGGGGUAACGGCCCACCAUGGCUUCGACGGGUAGCCGGCCUGAGAGGGCGACCGGCCACAUUGGGACUGAGAUACGGCCCAGACUCCUACGGGAGGCAGCAGUGGGGAAUAUUGCACAAUGGGCGCAAGCCUGAUGCAGCGACGCCGCGUGCGGGAUGACGGCCUUCGGGUUGUAAACCGCUUUUGACUGGGAGCAAGCCCUUCGGGGUGAGUGUACCUUUCGAAUAAGCACCGGCUAACUACGUGCCAGCAGCCGCGGUAAUACGUAGGGUGCAAGCGUUAUCCGGAAUUAUUGGGCGUAAAGGGCUCGUAGGCGGUUCGUCGCGUCCGGUGUGAAAGUCCAUCGCUUAACGGUGGAUCCGCGCCGGGUACGGGCGGGCUUGAGUGCGGUAGGGGAGACUGGAAUUCCCGGUGUAACGGUGGAAUGUGUAGAUAUCGGGAAGAACACCA